AAUUCAAUUAGUCUUUGUGUUUUAACUGGGGGUAAUGAAAAUAAUCUUAAUUUAUUUUAAAUAAGUAUUUAAUAAAGAAAGUUUUUUGAGGAUAAUAGCUGACAAGUACUGUAAAGGAAAGUUGAAAUAUGUGAAAAAUUUAAUUUAAUAAAAGUAUAAUUAAAAAUUAGUGCCUUGUGUUUCAGGAAACUUAAAAUUAAUCUUAUAAAAUAAGUAAUCCCGAAAUUUAGUGAGCUAGUUUGUUAUAAAUAGUUAACGUAGUAUAGUUAUUAUAAAUGAUAUACUAGAAGUGAAAUUCUAUUCGCACUAAUAAGUAUCUGGUUUUUUAGUAAAUUAAUUUAAUUUAGCCUUCAGCUGGUCAUGACACUGAAGAGUAAAAAUAGGAGGGAAAAGCUUCUUAUUUAAUAAUAAACUUACUAUGGGUGAUAGUAAUUUGCUUAUUUAAUUAGGCUUAAAACCAGUCAAAUUUAAAAACCGUUAUAGGUUAUUUAGGUGCUAUUAAUAUUUAAAAUCACUCUAGCUUGGUUAUUAAAAAUUUUUAUUUAAUAAAUUAUUCAUAGUUAUAAUUAAGUUAUUAGUAUAAAAGUUUUGUGAAUUUGGGGAUAUAUAAAUUAAAACCUUCAAUUUUACUAAAACAAAAAUUGUGUUAAGGAACUCGGCAAUUAUCCUUUCUGCCUGUUUAUCAAAAACAUGUCCAUGUGUAAUAGGUUUACAUGGUCUGGCCUGCCCACUGAUAUAAAUUAAAGGGCCGCGGUAUUUUGACCGUGCGAAGGUAGCAUAAUAAUUAGUCUCCUAAUUAGAGGCUUGUAUGAAUGGUCGGACAAGAUGGGAACUGUCUCAACACAAACUAUAAAAUUUAAUGUUUGAGUAAAAAAGCUUAAAUAAUAUGGAGGGACGAUAAGACCCUAUAAAGCUUUAUAGUGUAGUUUUUUUAUAUUAAUUAUAUAUUUUAGUUUAUUAAAAAAGUAAUACUAUUUUACUGGGGCGGUAAAAGUAUAUUUUUGAUUAACUGCUUUUGUUUUUAAAAACAAUAAUAAUUGGUUAAUAGAUUGAUCCAUUAUUAAUGAUCACAAGAACAAGUUACUUUAGGGAUAACAGCGUAAUUUUUCUUGAGAGUCCAUAUCGAAAGAAAAGUUUGCGACCUCGAUGUUGAAUUAAGAAGGCCUUAAGGUGCAGCAGUUUUAAUAGGCAGAUCUGUUCGAUCUUUAAAUUCUUACAUGAUUUGAGUUCAGACCGGCGUAAGCCAGGUUGGUUUCUAUCUUCCAUAAUUAAAUAGAUUUAUUUUAGUACGAAAGGAUUUAAUAAGUCAAAUAUUUUGUUGUUAGUUGAAUCUCAUUAAGUUA
Molecule: ribosomal RNA, 1343 nt
Filed under: Taku spinosocarinatus
Lineage: Eukaryota; Metazoa; Arthropoda; Malacostraca; Stomatopoda; Takuidae
Description: large subunit ribosomal RNA
Rfam family: Archaeal large subunit ribosomal RNA (bases 628-1343)
Source: RNAcentral